CAACUCUGGAAAGCUUUACAGAAACGUAAAGCACCGACGGAGUAAGCAAAGGAUUUUAUCUUUUGUGAAUCUCUCAGGUUCUAAGACAGAGGGGG
RNAcentral lists this non-coding RNA (95 nucleotides) under uncultured Kiloniella sp. RNAcentral describes it as "Glycine riboswitch". It matches the Rfam family "Glycine riboswitch aptamer". From Rfam's summary of the family: This family represents the bacterial glycine riboswitch. Glycine riboswitches usually consist of two metabolite-binding aptamers domains with similar structures in tandem. Lineage: Bacteria; Pseudomonadati; Pseudomonadota; Alphaproteobacteria; Rhodospirillales; Kiloniellaceae. The record is from RNAcentral.